RNAcentral lists this ribosomal RNA (265 nucleotides) under uncultured bacterium. RNAcentral's name for it is "partial 16S ribosomal RNA". It matches the Rfam family "Bacterial small subunit ribosomal RNA", at positions 793 to 1055 of the family's 1533-position model. The record is from RNAcentral.
GUCCACGCCGUAAACGAUGGACACUAGGUGUGGGGGGUAUUGACCCCCUCCGUGCCGAAGCUAACGCACUAAGUGUCCCGCCUGGGGAGUACGGCCGCAAGGCUAAAACUCAAAGGAAUUGACGGGGGCCCGCACAAGCAGCGGAGCGUGUGGUUUAAUUCGACGCAACGCGAAGAACCUUACCAAGGCUUGACAUGCUGGUAGUACCGAUCCGAAAGGUGAGGGACCCUUCGGGGAGCCAGUGCAGGUGAUGCAUGGCUGUCGU